RNAcentral lists this ribosomal RNA (480 nucleotides) under uncultured bacterium. RNAcentral describes it as "bacterial SSU rRNA". It matches the Rfam family "Bacterial small subunit ribosomal RNA", at positions 8 to 485 of the family's 1533-position model. The record is from RNAcentral.
AGAGUUUGAUCCUGGCUCAGGAUGAACGCUAGCGGCAGGCUUAAUACAUGCAAGUCGAGGGGUAACAGGUCCUUCGGGAUGCUGACGACCGGCAACCGGGUGAGUAACACGUAUGCAAUCUACCUUUAACAGGGGCACAACUUUGGGAAACCGGAGCUAAUUCCCCAUAAUAUUGUAUGCUCGCAUGAAUAUACAAUUAAAGUACAAGCAGUUAGAGAUGAGCGUGCGUCUGAUUAGGUAGUUGGUGGGGUAACGGCUCACCAAGCCAACGAUCAGUAGCUGAUGUGAGAGCAUGAUCAGCCACACGGGCACUGAGACACGGGCCCGACUCCUACGGGAGGCAGCAGUAGGGAAUAUUGGGCAAUGGAGGCAACUCUGACCCAGCCAUGCCGCGUGAAGGAUUAAAGUCCUCUGGAUUGUAAACUUCUUUUAUAAGGGAAGAAAUUCUUGAAUUCAUUUAAGAUUGACGGUACCUAAGAA